GACGAACGCUGGCGGCGUGCUUAACACAUGCAAGUCGAACGGAAAGGCCCUGCUUGCAGGGUACUCGAGUGGCGAACGGGUGAGUAACACGUGGGUGAUCUGCCCUGCACUUCGGGAUAAGCCUGGGAAACUGGGUCUAAUACCGGAUAGGAGCCAUUUUUAGUGUGAUGGUUGGAAAGUUUUUUCGGUGUAGGAUGAGCUCGCGGCCUAUCAGCUUGUUGGUGGGGUAAUGGCCUACCAAGGCGGCGACGGGUAGCCGGCCUGAGAGGGUGGACGGCCACAUGGGGACUGAGAUACGGCCCAGACUCCGACGGGAGGCAGCAGUGGGGAAUAUUGCACAAUGGGCGCAAGCCUGAUGCAGCGACGCCGCGGGGGGAUGACGGCCUUCGGGUUGUAAACUCCUUUCGCUAGGGACGAAGCUUUUGUGACGGUACCUAGAGAAGAAGCACCGGCUAACUACGUG
RNAcentral lists this ribosomal RNA (463 nucleotides) under uncultured bacterium. RNAcentral describes it as "partial 16S ribosomal RNA". It matches the Rfam family "Bacterial small subunit ribosomal RNA", at positions 28 to 507 of the family's 1533-position model. The record is from RNAcentral.